This 249-nucleotide long non-coding RNA is filed under the name Panax ginseng (ginseng). RNAcentral's name for it is "long non-coding RNA (PGIN_LNC002071)". The record is from RNAcentral. Lineage: Eukaryota; Viridiplantae; Streptophyta; Magnoliopsida; Apiales; Araliaceae.
UCUCUCGCUCUGUUCUCCCCUAAUGAAACAUUCAAACAUCAGAAAGAAAAUUCACUUUUUAUCUUCUACUCUAUUAUUCCCACUUCAUUUCUCCCCUGACGGAGUGUUCUUCGCACCUUCAUAAGCUUCAAGAAGAGUGAAUACAAGCCUCUAAAUCAAACCAAAUACUUGAAUCAAAGUACUAGAAUUAUAACUAGAGCAUGAGAACAAAACUUAGAUUCCUCUGGAAAAAUAAACCUGCAGAAAAAU